CAGCAGGCGCGAAAACUUUACAAUGCGGGAAACCGCGAUAAGGGGACACCGAGUGCCAGCAUAUUAUGUUGGCUGUCCACAUGUGUAAACGGCAUGUGUUAGCAAGGGCCGGGCAAGACCGGUGCCAGCCGCCGCGGUAACACCGGCGGCCCGAGUGGUAAUCACUUUUAUUGGGUCUAAAGGGUCCGUAGCCGGUUUGAUCAGUUCUUCGGGAAAUCUGACAGCUCAACUGUUAGGCUUCCGGGGAAUACUGUCAGACUUGGGACCGGGAGAGGUAAGAGGUACUACAGGGGUAGGAGUGAAAUCUUGUAAUCCUGUGGGACCACCAGUGGCGAAGGCGUCUUACCAGAACGGGUCCGACGGUGAGGGACGAAAGC
RNAcentral lists this ribosomal RNA (377 nucleotides) under Methanococcoides sp. enrichment culture clone 4.17d Arc Band 1. Its description in RNAcentral is "bacterial SSU rRNA". It matches the Rfam family "Archaeal small subunit ribosomal RNA", at positions 333 to 711 of the family's 1478-position model. The record is from RNAcentral. Lineage: Archaea; Methanobacteriati; Methanobacteriota; Methanomicrobia; Methanosarcinales; Methanosarcinaceae.